AAGUCGUAACAAGGUUUCCGUAGGUGAACCUGCGGAAGGAUCAUUAACACGUAUCCAACGUUAAACCCCCCUGUGAACCUUCAGAGAGCUCUUGCAUACCGUACGGAACAGCAAUCUUGGUAAAUCAGUGGCGAAAGUCGUUUUUGAUUCAGGACCUCUGUCCAGGACUUCAAUUGAGCGCAUACGCAGUGGGUCUGGAGACCUGGCCGGGCGGAUUAAAGUGUCGCUGUACGGUUUCGAGGUUAACAUUACGAUCGCUAGAGGCUCACCACGGGCCGGCGGACAGACCUGCAGGGCCUCGAGCCCCCCUACCUGACGACCAAGUUAAACCGGGCCUCGUCACAUAGCAAGUGCGCCGUGAUGGAGGAAAACGUACAACUGUUAACAAUGGAUAUCUUGGUUCUC
This 405-nucleotide unclassified non-coding RNA is filed under the name fungal sp. Its description in RNAcentral is "partial internal transcribed spacer region". The stretch from base 1 to 46 matches the Rfam family "Eukaryotic small subunit ribosomal RNA", at positions 1786 to 1831 of the family's 1831-position model. The record is from RNAcentral. Lineage: Eukaryota; Fungi.